RNAcentral lists this ribosomal RNA (469 nucleotides) under uncultured bacterium. RNAcentral describes it as "partial 16S ribosomal RNA". It matches the Rfam family "Bacterial small subunit ribosomal RNA", at positions 28 to 507 of the family's 1533-position model. The record is from RNAcentral.
GACGAACGCUGGCGGCGUGCUUAACACAUGCAAGUCGAACGGAAAGGCCCUGCUUGCAGGGUGCUCGAGUGGCGAACGGGUGAGUAACACGUGGGUGAUCUGCCCCUUACUUUGGGAUAAGCCUGGGAAACUGGGUCUAAUACUGGAUAGGACCAUGCUGUAGGUGGUGUGGUGGAAAGAUUAGUUUCGGUAGGGGAUGAGCUCGCGGCCUAUCAGCUUGUUGGUGGGGUAAUGACCUACCAAGGCGUCGACGGGUAGCCGGCCUGAGAGGGUGGGCGGCCACAUUGGGACUGCGAUGCGGCCCAGACUCCUACGGGAGGCAGCAGUGGGGAAUAUUGCGCAAUGGGCGCAAGCCUGAUGCAGCGACGCCGCGUGGGGGGUGACGGCCUUCGGGUUGUAAACUCCUUUCGGCCAUGACGAAGCCCUUGUGGUGACGGUAGUGGUAGAAGAAGCACCGGCUAACUACGUG